RNAcentral lists this long non-coding RNA (2360 nucleotides) under Manihot esculenta (cassava). Its description in RNAcentral is "long non-coding RNA (MESC_LNC004368)". Lineage: Eukaryota; Viridiplantae; Streptophyta; Magnoliopsida; Malpighiales; Euphorbiaceae. The record is from RNAcentral.
ACCAAGUUCAGACCAAAAUAAUUACACUACUAAAUUGAUUAAGCAAUUUCUCUUCUCCCUCAAUUUUCCUUUCUCCCAUUUCAUAGAACUCUCAAUCUCAAGCAAAAAAACACUCGUCUUUUUGUCCGAAAUGUUCAGAGCAGAGAUGCAGAAUUUAAUUUAGUAUUGUCAAUUUUCGGCUUCAGAAAUAGACGAUUCACUCCCAGAACUUCAGUUCUUCAUGAUGCCAAUUGUCUACCAACCAUAAAAAUGAAUAAAGAUUUAAGGCUGUCGAAAUUAAUACUAACCUACAUCAGCCACCGUGACAACAAGUGCAAAAGUUAACAUUUCGGGAGCAAAUUAGAAUUGAGAAGAUCCUAAAACUAAAAUUUUGGCGGUGAUCAUGACACAAUCACUGUGAUCCAAUUAACAUUCAAAUAAAUGAAUUUCGCACUAUCAGCCAAUGUCACAUUAUAAACACCACCGCCUCCUUAGUCCUUACUAAUUCUAUGCACUAAAGAAUGCUACUAUCUAUGGAUCUUGAAAUCAAGCAACUCUUUUCUAUGGAUCUUGAAGUGGCAGACGUUCUCAGGACCUGUGAUAAUCAAAACCAUAAGGCAGGCCACUUGAAAAUGCUUUGAGAUAUAAGCCGUUGAAUCUCUCAAUCACCUAUAAGAAAGUGCAUGCAAUCUGCUGGUACUGUAUAUGUUUACAUUAACACAAAAAUCAGCAUCAAUGAAAGCAUUACAAUUAGUAAUGAAGUCAGCGAAGUAAUUACAUGACAACAACAGAGAACACACAUCUCAAAUCAAUGGAUGUAAUAAUAACAACUGCAAAUGUUAAAUAAAAAAUAAUAGAAGUUUCAGACAUCCAAGGAAGGAUUGAAGCAGCACUAGCUCUCAAGCCUGGCGAAGGCGAAAGCUCUUAGGUGGCCACUGCGAAUGUUUUGAGAAACAAGCCUUUGGAGUUGUCAUCAUCAACAGAAAGAUUAAACAAGACAGCAUUAUGCACUCCCUUUAUUUUUCAAUAAGCCUCUCAUUUAUGUGGUCAAAAAGCAAUGGAAAGGCAUUGCAUAGAAAAGAGAUGUUUGAAAACAUCAUACCACAACAGAGAUUCAAAUGGCACUCAAUAAAGUUGCAGACAGUGAAGAAUUUAGUCCAGGAUAUAAAAAAUCUAGAAGAUACAAAAGGAAUAAAAAAAAUCAGAGAAUUACACCAAAUACACCCGUGCAUUGACUUACCUAAGAGCUAACCCUACUGAAAUCAAGCAAAAAUCACUACAUAAUCAUUUUCUUUACUUGGAAAUUGGGGUCUCAGACAUCCAAGGAAGUAGUGAAGCAGCAUUAGCUCUCAAGCCUGGCUAAGGCGAAAGCUCUUAGGCGGCCACUGCGAAUGUUUUGAGAAACAAGCCUUUAAUAUGUCAUCAUUGUUCACAGAUUUCAGUAAAAAAAUUACUUGUUAUAAACAUUAGAAACAUCCCAUCUAAAUCAUUAACAUUCUCCAUGUACUCAGAAGUGCAAAUGCCAAAACUCUUCAGCGCAAACAGUAUGAUAAUGGUGAUAGAUUAUAAAAAAGGACGCACUCAAAGAGACACAAACGAAUAGAUAGUUAAAUCAAGUAGCAAAAUAUAGGCAAGUCAGACAAUUAAUAUGCCUCACAAGUUGAGUUCAUAAUGGAUUAAUUCCAUUCACACAUCUAAUUGAUUCAUCAUUCUUGCCAAUUUACUUUCUUGAAAUCAACGCAAUAAAGAAUAACCACAUACCAUUCAUCGUUUAAGUUCACUUCAACCAAAAUAAAUAAAAUAAAACCUCAAGGAAAAAAACAUCAAAUUGUGCGAAAUUUUGAAAAUUGUUUCCCACAGAGUGCGAGACAUUCAUAGAUUAUCAAUGGACCUGAUUCCCAUUAGUUGAAACAAAUGGGAAAACACAGGAACAAAGAACAAGGCCAAUGCCUCUUGAAGCAAUCUCCAGUGGGACAAGAAGGAGAACUCAAUAGGAAAACCCUAAAGAGAAACCCAUGAAUGCUUAAUAUUGCGCAGCUAUGACUCAAAACGCUUCCAUUGUUAUCUGGAAGGCGAUCUUAAGGGCUGCGCUUAUCAGAAAAACAAAAAGAACCCAAAAUUUGUGAGAUUGAUAAAAAGACAACAAAGAAAACAAUUGGAGCUGCAAAACCCUAGAAAAAAGAGAGGAAGAAGACAUUCUUAUAGCCCUGCGUCCAAGCAGUAAGAACAUGAAUCCCAAGAGAGGAGCGGCUUUAGGGUUUUGUGAAGUUUGAACUAUGAAGCACAGUAGAGAUGGGCCUCAAACUUUAAAAGACCUUCUGCAGAUUUUGGGUUGCCAUUGGAUCUCUUCUACAUGUAAAACCCUAACCCUAAUGAUCAUA